Molecule: ribosomal RNA, 1435 nt
Filed under: uncultured organism
Description: SSU rRNA
Rfam family: Bacterial small subunit ribosomal RNA
Source: RNAcentral
CACAUGCAAGUCGAGGGGCAGCAUUUCAUUUUGCUUGCAAACUGAAGAUGGCGACCGGCGCACGGGUGAGUAACACGUAUCCAACCUGCCGAUAACUCCGGAAUAUCCUUUCGAAAGAAAGAUUAAUACCGGAUAGCAUACGAAUAUCGCAUGAUAUUUUUAUUAAAGAAUUUCGGUUAUCGAUGGGGAUGCGUUCCAUUAGUUUGUUGGCGGGGUAACGGCCCACCAAGACUACGAUGGAUAGGGGUUCUGAGAGGAAGGUCCCCCACAUUGGAACUGAGACACGGUCCAAACUCCUACGGGAGGCAGCAGUGAGGAAUAUUGGUCAAUGGGCGAGAGCCUGAACCAGCCAAGUAGCGUGAAGGAUGAAGGCUCUAUGGGUCGUAAACUUCUUUUAUAUGGGAAUAAAGUUUUCCACGUGUGGAAUUUUGUAUGUACCAUAUGAAUAAGGAUCGGCUAACUCCGUGCCAGCAGCCGCGGUAAUACGGAGGAUCCGAGCGUUAUCCGGGUUUAUUGGGUUUAAAGGGAGCGUAGGUGGAUUGUUAAGUCAGUUGUGAAAGUUUGCGGCUCAACCGUAAAAUUGCAGUUGAAACUGGCAGUCUUGAGUACAGUAGAGGUGGGCGGAAUUCGUGGUGUAGCGGUGAAAUGCUUAGAUAUCACGAAGAACUCCGAUUGCGAAGGCAGCUCACUAGACUGUCACUGACACUGAUGCUCGAAAGUGUGGGUAUCAAACAGGAUUAGAUACCCUGGUAGUCCACACAGUAAACGAUGAAUACUCGCUGUUUGCGAUAUACAGUAAGCGGCCAAGCGAAAGCAUUAAGUAUUCCACCUGGGGAGUACGUCGGCAACGGUGAAACUCAAAGGAAUUGACGGGGGCCCGCACAAGCGGAGGAACAUGUGGUUUAAUUCGAUGAUACGCGAGGAACCUUACCCGGGCUUAAAUUGCAACAGAAUAUAUUGGAAACAGUAUAGCCGUAAGGCUGUUGUGAAGGUGCUGCAUGGUUGUCGUCAGCUCGUGCCGUGAGGUGUCGGCUUAAGUGCCAUAACGAGCGCAACCCUUAUCUUUAGUUACUAACAGGUCAUGCUGAGGACUCUAGAGAGACUGCCGUCGUAAGAUGUGAGGAAGGUGGGGAUGACGUCAAAUCAGCACGGCCCUUACGUCCGGGGCUACACACGUGUUACAAUGGGGGGUACAGAAGGCGGCUACCUGGUGACAGGAUGCUAAUCCCAAAAACCUCUCUCAGUUCGGAUCGAAGUCUGCAACCCGACUUCGUGAAGCUGGAUUCGCUAGUAAUCGCGCAUCAGCCAUGGCGCGGUGAAUACGUUCCCGGGCCUUGUACACACCGCCCGUCAAGCCAUGAAAGCCGGGGGUACCUGAAGUACGUAACCGCAAGGAGCGUCCUAGGGUAAAACUGGUAAUUGGGGCUAAGUCGUA